Molecule: ribosomal RNA, 497 nt
Filed under: uncultured bacterium
Lineage: Bacteria
Description: partial 16S ribosomal RNA
Rfam family: Bacterial small subunit ribosomal RNA
Source: RNAcentral
GAUGAACGCUGGCGGCGUGCCUAAUACAUGCAAGUCGAGCGAACGGACGAGAAGCUUGCUUCUCUGAUGUUAGCGGCGGACGGGUGAGUAACACGUGGAUAACCUACCUAUAAGACUGGGAUAACUUCGGGAAACCGUAGCUAAUACCGGAUAAUAUUUUGAACCGCAUGGUUCAAAAGUGAAAGACGGUCUUGCUGUCACUUAUAGAUGGAUCCGCGCUGCAUUAGCUAGUUGGUAAGGUAACGGCUUACCAAGGCAACGAUGCAUAGCCGACCUGAGAGGGUGAUCGGCCACACUGGAACUGAGACACGGUCCCGACUCCUACGGGAGGCAGCAGUAGGGAAUCUUCCGCAAUGGGCGAAAGCCUGACGGAGCAACGCCGCGUGAGUGAUGAAGGUCUUCGGAUCGUAAAACUCUGUUAUUAGGGAAGAACAUAUGUGUAAGUAACUGUGCACAUCUUGACGGUACCUAAUCAGAAAGCCACGGCUAACUACGUG